Long non-coding RNA from Gallus gallus (chicken), 395 nucleotides. The record is from Ensembl. NCBI's taxonomy places the organism in Eukaryota, Metazoa, Chordata, Aves, Galliformes, Phasianidae.
CUAAAAUCAAAUCUGCCUGGGGAAGGGCUCCAUGCAAGCACUGAUGGGCUGUAUGCUGUCAGCUGCCAACUGCAUUGCAUCCCGUUCUGAAACUGACUGAGUCAUGAAUGCUGAGCAGCAGUGGGAGAGCACCUGCCUGAGCUGCGUGUGACAGCCUGUGGAUGUUGGUGGGACUGAGUGCUGUACACAGAAUGAGGGCACUCCCUGCUGUGCCUGAGGUUAUGGUUUGCAGUAGUUUAAAAGAGGAUUGCUUUACAGGAAGGAUGUCCAAGCGCUGCUCAGAAGAAGCCAUAUAACUGCAUUAUUGCAUGUCCAUGCGGGUGGCUGUGCUGUGCCGGAGUCUCAGAGUCCAUGGAGUCCAUGGUUCAGAUUAAACACAGUCUCACCUAGAAGAG